GAAAGAACAGCAUGGUUUUUUCUAAGUAGAAAUUAUUAUCCAACUGAAGUAUAAUACUAAUUAAAUGUACCAAUAAAUAUUAAUUCUCAACAUAAAAUAUACUGUUGCAGCCUCCGUGGCAUUCUCAUUAAAACAGGGAAUAAACCAAGACUGUGAGACCUGAUACUAUGUGACAUUUCUAGUUAAUCCACAGAGAAAAGCACUUAAACAAGAAAUAUGAUUAUUAGAAAGAGAAGCAAACCGUAAUUUAUAAGUAAAAGACCCAUUUAUUAAACAAUUACACAAAUCACUAGCUCUCUGGAUCAUAAAUAGCCACUGAAACAAUGCAAUGCUAAAAUCUAAAUAUAAGCAAAACUUGACAAAAUAGCCUCUGACAAAGCUAAUGUGUAGAAUCUACAUAAAGGAAACACUAGACCUUUGAUGAGGUGCUUAGACUAGCCCUUGAAUACACUGUAACUUCUGGAAAGCUAGAAUAUAUUAAAUCAUCAAUUAUUUCCACAUCCAUUCUGUCAAAUGCACAUGGAGGCUAUUAUUUGAAAUAUCAGAUUGUGAUUAUAAAAAUAACAGCAAAGAAGAAAUGAAACUGUCCAAGAAAAGCAUUGAAAAUAAGAUCAUUAUUAGAAAUGUAAGCAGUAGACAAUCUCUGUACAUGACUCCAAACAUGACAUAUCUUAUCUAUUUUAAAGAAAUAUAAACUUGUAAAAUGCUGAUCUCAAUUCCUGGUUUAUAACAGAGUAAACUCAAUUAUAGAGAAGUAACCUAUACAGAGGAAUUAAAAUAUUGAGAUAUCUGGUAAAAAUAUAUAAAAAUAUAGAAAAUUAUAUAUUGCUCUAUGGAAUACAUGUUUUAUAGUAAACAGCAAAUUACAGACAGUAAAAUGCCAGUUUUAAAGUCCUGGUUCAUAGCAAUAUGAAAAUGAUUGAAAAAAUUCAGUAAAAUAUUAGAUGCAUAUGUAUUCACAUGCUAUAUAGCAAUUUACCUAAAUUCAAAGGGGUACAGUGUGUAUUUAUAAUGGUAGAAUUUCAUAGAGAGUUCAGGUGAGUACUUGCAUAUAGCUAGGUCAAUUCCCAAAACUAAGAAACAAAAACAAAGAACACAAUUUAAAAUAGAUACAAUGACAGAGAUAUAUUCACCUAUACUUCAAGUCAUACAGUAAAGUGUAUCCUGUUAUUAACAAUUAUUUCUUAAGAGAUUGUUAUAGUCAUGAAAAUAAUGCCUUCAUAGUCAUAUGAAGAAAAAUGAGGUUAUUCUUAAGAUUCUUUAAACACUAAGUACAAAAUGAACUAUGUUAGCCCUAGGACAUGCUCACGCUUAUUUUCUCUGUAAAUUUGUUUUGUUUUGUUUUGUUUUGAGAGGGUCUUAGCAUGUAUAUAGAUCUGGAUGUCCUGGACCUUUCUGUGUAGACCAGGCUGUCCUAGAAAUCACAAGCACCCUUCUGCCUCUGCUUCCCAAGGGCAGAGACUAUGGGCAUGCACCACCACACCAUCCCGCUUUUCUGUAAAUUUUUAAUGAAAUGGCUUUUCAAAUGAGCUCAUGGAAUGCUUAUGAGGUAGGACAUGUCAAUUGCAUUUUAAACUGCUUAUUGGCCAGUCUUUUUAAAUUUAGGUUCUCAAUUGGGAAGAGGAGGGACAAGGCAUCAACUACUCAGUAGAUUGCAACAGUAAAAAGGAAGAAAGAUUAGUAUGAAAUAGAAAGCAUGUCUAUAUGUCAUGCAGUUU
This 1718-nucleotide long non-coding RNA is filed under the name Mus musculus (house mouse). Its description in RNAcentral is "long non-coding RNA chr2:16693908-16695626". The record is from RNAcentral. Lineage: Eukaryota; Metazoa; Chordata; Mammalia; Rodentia; Muridae.